GACGAACGCUGGCGGCGUGCCUAAUACAUGCAAGUUGAGCGCUGAAGGUUGGUACUUGUACCGACUGGAUGAGCAGCGAACGGGUGAGUAACGCGUGGGGAAUCUGCCUUUGAGCGGGGGACAACAUUUGGAAACGAAUGCUAAUACCGCAUAAAAACUUUAAACACAAGUUUUAAGUUUGAAAGAUGCAAUUGCAUCACUCAAAGAUGAUCCCGCGUUGUAUUAGCUAGUUGGUGAGGUAAAGGCUCACCAAGGCGAGGAUACAUAGCCGACCUGAGAGGGUGAUCGGCCACAUUGGGACUGAGACACGGCCCAAACGCCUACGGGAGGCAGCAGUAGGGAAUCUUCGGCAAUGGACGAAAGUCUGACCGAGCAACGCCGCGUGAGUGAAGAAGGGUGUCGGAUCGUAAAACUCUGUUGGUAGAGAAGAACGUUGGUGAGAGUGGAAAGCUCAUCAAGUGACGGUAACUACCCAGAAAGGGACGGCUAACUACGUG
Molecule: ribosomal RNA, 497 nt
Filed under: uncultured bacterium
Lineage: Bacteria
Description: partial 16S ribosomal RNA
Rfam family: Bacterial small subunit ribosomal RNA
Source: RNAcentral